RNAcentral lists this small nuclear RNA (19 nucleotides) under Arabidopsis thaliana (thale cress). RNAcentral's name for it is "snRNA_10713". The record is from RNAcentral. Lineage: Eukaryota; Viridiplantae; Streptophyta; Magnoliopsida; Brassicales; Brassicaceae.
GGUGCAAAUCGCAUGUGUC